GCCCGUGGGGGCAGGACGGCAGCCUCCCCGAAGCACAGGGCCAGGUGCUGAGCUGGGAAGGCACCAUCAUAACGCCCUGGAGGGCCGGGCUUGAAAUGAGAACUCAGAAAACCACACCAGAGCAUAGCCCACCUCCCUUCUCUUCCCUGACCGUGCCCCCCAGCAGAGGACCCUGGCCCACAGCCAAGCCACACCCACGCCACUCCUGCGAACAGCCACUUCCAGUGUUCGCAGACCCUAGGAUCCCUUUACAGUUUCUGAGCACAAGACUCCAGCCUGCCCAUGUGAUUUCACUC
RNAcentral lists this non-coding RNA (296 nucleotides) under Pongo abelii (Sumatran orangutan). The record is from RNAcentral. Lineage: Eukaryota; Metazoa; Chordata; Mammalia; Primates; Hominidae.